UACAGGGGGUGCAACCGUUGCUCGGAAUCAUUGGGCGUAAAGCGCGCGUAGGCGGUUCGUUAUGUCGGAUGUGAAAGCCCUUGGCUUAACCGAGGAAGUGCAUCCGAAACUGGCGAGCUAGAGUACGAAAGAGGAUCGCGGAAUUCCCGGUGUAGAGGUGAAAUUCGUAGAUAUCGGGAGGAACACCGGUGGCGAAGGCGGCGAUCUGGGUCGAUACUGACGCUGAGGUGCGAAAGCGUGGGGAGCAAACAGG
This 253-nucleotide ribosomal RNA is filed under the name uncultured bacterium. RNAcentral describes it as "partial 16S ribosomal RNA". It matches the Rfam family "Bacterial small subunit ribosomal RNA", at positions 524 to 776 of the family's 1533-position model. The record is from RNAcentral.